Molecule: ribosomal RNA, 496 nt
Filed under: uncultured bacterium
Lineage: Bacteria
Description: partial 16S ribosomal RNA
Rfam family: Bacterial small subunit ribosomal RNA
Source: RNAcentral
GAUGAACGCUGGCGGCGUGCCUAAUACAUGCAAGUCGAGCGAACAGACGAGGAGCUUGCUCCUCUGACGUUAGCGGCGGACGGGUGAGUAACACGUGGAUAACCUACCUAUAAGACUGGGAUAACUUCGGGAAACCGGAGCUAAUACCGGAUAAUAUAUUGAACCGCAUGGUUCAAUAGUGAAAGACGGUUUUGCUGUCACUUAUAGAUGGAUCCGCGCCGCAUUAGCUAGUUGGUAAGGUAACGGCUUACCAAGGCAACGAUGCGUAGCCGACCUGAGAGGGUGAUCGGCCACACUGGACCUGAGACCCGGUCCAGGCUCCUACGGGAGGCAGCAGUAGGGAAUCUUCCGCAAUGGGCGAAAGCCUGACGGAGCAACGCCGCGUGAGUGAUGAAGGUCUUCGGCUCGUAAAACUCUGUUAUUAGGGAAGAACAAAUGUGUAAGUAACUAUGCACGUCUUGACGGUACCUAAUCAGAAAGCCACGGCUAACUACGU